This 30-nucleotide non-coding RNA is filed under the name Homo sapiens (human). The record is from RNAcentral. Lineage: Eukaryota; Metazoa; Chordata; Mammalia; Primates; Hominidae.
AGGGCUGAGACAAACACAUUGGAGAAUUAU